UGCUCCUAGAAGAAGAGGAAUUCAAAUCCAGCCCUGGGUUCUCAAAUAAGAUCUUUUGGGUGAGCUGCUGUGAAUUUUUAGCACUGGAACCCAACUCUGGUGCUGAGGUAUCUAAUAGACUUUUUGGCAGGAGCUGGAGAGGCUUUGGAGAAGGGUCUAUCUCAGAUAAUACCAAUGGAUGGUCCAGGAAAACCUUGUGGUGGAAGGGGGAUUGGACUCCCUUCACAAUCCUCACCCUUGCGUGACCCACACCAUCACUGAGCAUUGAGGCCACUCUCUUGAACCUAGAAACAGCCUCCCCUGUCUCUGCCACCAGAUUCCUAUACUGGACUUGAUCCUGGGACUGGGAAAGCAGGCUCAGGAGACCGUGGCAGCUCUCCACAGCAGCUCGGUUAGCUUCCUCCACCUGCUCCAUCUCAACACCAAGUCCCGAAACACCCUAAAUACCCCAAAGUCUCAGC
RNAcentral lists this long non-coding RNA (461 nucleotides) under Elaeis guineensis (African oil palm). RNAcentral describes it as "long non-coding RNA (EGUI_LNC013962)". The record is from RNAcentral. Lineage: Eukaryota; Viridiplantae; Streptophyta; Magnoliopsida; Arecales; Arecaceae.